UGGGGAAUUUUGGACAAUGGGCGAAAGCCUGAUCCAGCAAUGCCGCGUGUGUGAAGAAGGCCUUCGGGUUGUAAAGCACUUUUGUCCGGAAAGAAAUCCUCUGGGUUAAUACCUCGGGGGGAUGACGGUACCGGAAGAAUAAGCACCGGCUAACUACGUGCCAGCAGCCGCGGUAAUACGUAGGGUGCAAGCGUUAAUCGGAAUUACUGGGCGUAAAGCGUGCGCAGGCGGUUUUGUAAGACGGAUGUGAAAUCCCCCGGGCUUAACCUGGGAACUGCAUUCGUGACUGCAAGGCUAGAGUAUGGCAGAGGGGGGUAAAUUCCACGUGUAGCAGUGAAAUGCGUAGAGAUGUGGAGGAAUACCGAUGGCGAAGGCGAGCCCCCUGGGCCAAAUACUGAACGCUCAUGCACGAAAAGCGUGGGGAGCAAAACAGGAUUAGAUACCCUGGUAGUCCACGCCCUAAACGAUGUCAACUAGUUGUUGGGGAUUCAUUUCCUUAGUAACGUAGCUAACGCGUGAAGUUGACCGCCU
This 531-nucleotide ribosomal RNA is filed under the name uncultured bacterium. RNAcentral describes it as "partial 16S ribosomal RNA". It matches the Rfam family "Bacterial small subunit ribosomal RNA", at positions 355 to 874 of the family's 1533-position model. The record is from RNAcentral.